This is an RNA transcript of Contarinia nasturtii (swede midge), 5067 nucleotides long. It is a transcript of the gene named putative deoxyribonuclease TATDN1, with no coding region annotated. The transcript is spliced from 4 exons. Lineage: Eukaryota; Metazoa; Arthropoda; Insecta; Diptera; Cecidomyiidae. The record is from RefSeq and is a predicted model, not a curated record.
CUCAGCGGUAUCGAUUUUCAUUUCUUUACAGUAUAUAGAGUGACGCAAAAAUACAUAUCACAUAUAUAUAUAUUGUAUGGGAAUCUGGCAGCUUUGACGAAUACAAUGCCAUAACCGAUUCGUUCAUGCAAUUGCAGGGCCAGCUUUUCAAGUCGUAUAUCAGCCGUAUACAAUCGCAAAUCAGAGCAAAUCCAAAACAUUUUUGGCGAUUUGUGAACGACAGGAGAAAAAGGAGCGAUAUUCCGGCUAUUGUUGAAUACAACGAUGAAAUUGCGGACACUGACACAUCGAAAGCCGAAUUAUUUGCUGACUUUUUCGAAAAUCAGUACACACGAAGCGACAUUGUCAACUUGGAUCAAUUAUUAGGUGAAUGCGGAGAUGUAUCAUUUGACAUUGAAAUCAAUGAAAACGACGUGAUGAAGGCAUUGCUAUCGGUCAACGUGAAUAAAGGAGCCGGACCAGAUGGUAUUUCACCGAAAAUGUUGAAAAAUUGCGCGCACACAUUGUCGAAACCCUUAACAGUCUUAUUCUGUAAAUCACUGCAUCAAGGAUGUGUUCCGACAACAUUAAAAAAUUCCAGAAUUGUGCCAAUAUACAAGUCUGGUAAAAAGAGCAACGCGUCGAACUACAGGCCAGUAGUUAUAAUACCGACAAUAGCCAAACUUUUCGAAAUUGUUGUGUAUAACAAAAUCAGCACAUUUGUUAAUUCGAAAAUCUGCCACAAUCAACAUGGAUUCGUGAAAAAUAGAUCAACAUCGACAAAUUUGUUACAGAUGGUGAAUUUCACGAUCGAUUCUAUGAUCAAAAAAUGUCAAACGGAUGUGCUUUAUACUGAUUUCGAAAAGGCCUUCGAUCGUGUGAACCAUAUGAAAUUGUUGCAGAAGCUGGUAAGAUUUGGAUUCGGCCGACGGCUUGUCAAAUGGUUCCAUGGAUAUUUGACAGAUAGGACACAGUUUGUUGGAAUCGGUGAACGAAAGUUACGAACUUUCACUGUAUCUUCUGGAGUACCAGCGGGAAGUAUUUUGGGACCAUGUCUCUUCAUUGUUUUUAUUAACGACAUUGUCGAAAUCGUGUCAAAUGCACUUGUUUUAUUAUUUGCAGAUGAUUUGAAAUUAAUCCGAACCAUACAAUCGCCUAUAGAUGCAAUCAUAUUUCAGAAUGCCAUUAAUCAAUUGAGCGAAUGGUGUACUGAAAAUAGUCUGCAUUUGAACUUGAAGAAAUGUUUCGUUAUGACAUACUCAAAAUGCGGAAACAUAGUCAACUAUGAUUAUACGAUCAACAACGGCCAACAUACAUUUGAAAGGAUCAACUUACACAAGGAUCUGGGAGUUAUAUUUGACACGAAGCUGACAUUUGUCAAUCACAUCGACGCGAUUACAGCCAGUGCACAUGGGGCAAUGGGUUUCAUCAAACGAACAUUAAAGAAUAAGUUUACAAUUGAAUCUGCUAAAAUAUUAUAUUGUGCACUAGUCAGAUCAAAAUUAGAGUAUGCGAGUAUUGUAUGGCAACCAUAUCACCGUAUCCAUUCCAAUAGAAUAGAAUCAAUUCAGAAAGAUUUUUUGAUAUGGACAUUGAGAUUUAUUUACCAAAAAAUUUUGUGCUACCACCGUAUCAAUUUAGAUGUGAUGUAUUAAAUAUUCAACCGCUUUGGAGACGGCGUAUAAAUGCCUCUGUUUAUUUAAUUUAUGAUCUCCUUUUGGGUAAAAUAGUGUCGAGUUCACUUAGAAAUAAAAUUGUAUAUACAAGACUGCAAUAUGACGAAAACCAAAGAAAUUUAAGAAGUACAGAACUGAUUAGAGUUAGGGCAUUUUCAUCGGAUUAUGCACAUAAUCAGCCGUUUUACGUGGCUUGUAGAAACUUUAACUUGAUAAGAGAAACAUUUUUAGAAUCGGCAUCAAGACACAUCUUUAGAAACAAUAUUGUCAAAUUAGAAAAUGUGAUAUUCGAUCGGUGAAAAAUUUAACUUUUAACUUUUAUGUGUUAUUUAGAAUAUAGAAAUUAAAACAGUGAACACAAUCGAUAUCUGCUACUCCGAAGUCGAAAAGGCUGGUAGCUGGGUAUACGAUCGGGUGGUGUUUCAUUGUGAAUGAUAUUGUACAAAUUUUGUGAUUAAUUCAGUCUGUGAUCAGACGGUGAAUAAAUAAAUAAAUAAAUAAAUAAAUAUGUUGGUAUUGCGUCAUUAGUUUUCAGUAUCACAUUGACAAAAUUUGUCAUUUUUGUGUAACAUUUGUCACACGCGUGUGUAACAUUUGUCAUUUUUGUGUAACAAAAGUUUUCUCCCGUAUCACAUGUCCGAAUCAGAACGAAAAAAAUCACAUUGCCUAUAAUUGAAAUCAUGACUGGUACGAAGUAUACAAUGUCACAGCGGACGGCAGUACGCGCGAGUGACGAAACCAGAUUAGUGUGUUGAAAAGUCGAUCUCGCUAUAUAUACACUUAAUAAACGAAAUCCAGACCUAGAAACGUUGGCCCCGGUUGAUGUAUGGAAAGCCACUGGGCCAUAGGUUAAGAAAAAAUAAUAAAGUUUGAAAAUCGGACCACCUAUCUUCAAAAUAUGAUCCUUUCAAGAAAAGUGUCAAAAUUCAGUUCUACGGCCAUAGAUGGUGUUCCAAAUUGAACAUAAUUUGGGAAGUUAAAUUUAAGAUUUUUUUUUUAAUAUUAUAUUUUUAUUAUGUCAUUUAGUUCAUAAGUAUUAUUUAAAUUUCACCGCUACUCGCUUCCUCUUCAACUUCACGCUUGAACGCUCGACGCGCCGAGAGAUGAACAAAGUGACGUCAUAAAUACAUAUACAAAAACGCAUUUUGCAUACAAAAUCACUUGUUCGUCUCUCGGCGCGUGCCUAUAAAAGGUCAAGCGAAAGCAGGAGGUUGAAGAUGAAGUGAGCGAUUAGUUUUGAAAGGCAAAAAAGACCGAAUAGAAACGAAAGCAAAAUAUAAAAAUCAAAAGUAAGAUUCUAUAUUAAAAUUAAAAGUUAUUUAAAUAAAUUUUAUUUUGUAAAAAUUAAAAAAAAAAUUCUUUUAAUAGUUGAUUUCGAAUAGAUGGCACUAAAUGAGGUCGUUGACCCCUGAAACAAACCCCCCUCCAAUUUUCAACACAUAAAACAAUGUUAGUUUUUAAAAAUGUGCAAUUGUGCAUAUCGGCUCAAAAUUUAGUGCGAUUUUGAUCUAUGACGAAAAAAUUCAUCAAAUCAAUCACAGCGGACGGCAGUACGCGCGAGUGACGAAACCACAUUAGUGUGUUGAAAAGUCGAACUCGCUAUAUAUACACGUAAUAUACGAAAUCCACACCCAGAAGGCCAUUGCCCCUGUUGAUGAAGCUCUUGGGCCAUAGAUCAAGAAAAAAUAUAAAAGUUUGAAAAUCGGUCCACCUGUCUUCAAAAUAUGGUCCUUUCAAGAAAAGGGUCAAAAUUCAGUUUCAUGACCAUAGACGGCACUAAAUGAGGUCGUUGACCUCUGAAACAUCGAUAGUCUGAUUCUAAAGCUCAAUACCUUUCCAACGAUACCUCAAACGUCGAAAUCGAUCAAUCCGUUCGAAAAAUUUAGCAUUUUAAAAUUUUCAUAUGAUUUUCCUAUAAUUUUGCUUACUCGAUUCUGAUCUUUUUGAAACUUCCUGGGAUUAAUGUACACAAGAAACUAAGACUUUUUUGUUCUGGCACUUUUCGAUAUGGCCGCCAUGUUGGCCGUGGCCGGUCUCCAAAAGUCACUUUUUGACUUUUGUCCCCACGGUCACUGAAGCUUAUCCACUUGACACACCCCGGACAUAUGCACCUCGUUGGAAAGGUCUUGAAGAGUAUACAAAUGUAUAUUAAGUUUUGUGUUUCACAUUUUGGUUUUGUCACUCGCUCUUCGCCUCGUCAGAGGUUUUUUAUUUGAUAUACUAUACAUAAAACAUUGCAAAAAAAGGAACUGACAUUCGUAAGUAUAAUUUUUCCGCACUUUUUGCAAAUUUCUUCGUUUACCGAACGAAUAUUUAUUUCCCGAAAGAUAUUGAUCAUGAUCUGUCAGUGCAGUAAAUGUUCUAGCAAAUUAAAAUACUAUUGACGUAUAAAUAAUUCAAAAUAAGUGAAAAUCGAUCAAUGUCGAAUCGAAAAAUGUACCGUAAAAUCUUAUGAACAUUAUUUUCGUAUCAAACAUAAUCUUGCUACAAUUUAUUUGUUAAUUGUUAGAACAUAAAAGUUCUUGUCAUGGAGUUCUCAUUGACUUCGAUCAUGGGUUUGUGGCUUGUUUCUUCGCAAGCGUGCACCCUCAUACUAUUCAAACGACAAUAAUGUUACUUGGACUCACAUAUUUUUCAUAUAUGUGUAAAAAAAUUUAGCAAUUUUUAUUGAAGAAGUAAAUUUGUAUACCCUUGUAAUGUGAAAAACUAUCUUAAUUACGCAUAAUAGAAUUUUUGGAGGAAAAAAUUGCUUACCGUUACCAUACAUAUUUUAUAAUAUUUCCUUUAUAUUGUAACUUGCAAGUAUGUUUAAUCUGUUUAAAAAAGAAACAUAAACCGAUUAUAUAUAGUAAAUAUAAAAGUUAGUAAAUUAGCUCAAUAAAAAGAAAAAAAAUAUUGAAGAAAUCUUUUUUAUCUCUUAUAAGCAUUUGACACAAAUUGAUGACGCAUUUUGUCAGAUAGAAAAAGAAACUAGAUUUCAAUAUUCAGUAUUACAAUAUUAUUCAAUUACUUUUAAAUAUUGAAGUGUUUGUUAAAAUGUUAUAUUGUUAAAAGAUUAUAAUGUUGUUUAAGAAAUUAUAUUACUACUCAAACUUGACAGCUCUGAAAAGUUUAGCACAAAAAAACUUAUUAAAAUUCAUACGAAUACAUUUUGUGCUGCCAUCUGUGAAAUGUCAUAAGCGCAUAAAACUUUAUAUGAAGUAAUUCAACUGUGUCCAAAAAAACAUUUUAUGAAUUUUAUUUCAAGAAAAUUCUCACAAAUACAACGAUUCAGCAGAGACAUGAAGUUCAUUGAUAUAGGGGCCAAUUUGACUGAUGGAAUGUAUAAAGGCAUUUAUAAUGGAUCUCAGAAACAUCCUGCUGAUUUAAAUAUGGUUUUAAAGAGAUCAUGGAGUAAUGGUUUGGAAAAAAU